ACUUUUUGGAGUCUCAAAGUUGGCUUUAUAAGUUAGCACCAAACCUGUGUUCAGUGCAAGUAGGAAAGCAUGAAUUUGGCAUGUUAGUGCUUUGUUUUUUUAAGACAUAACAGGGAAAAUGCUAUAACCAUUCUAACAGCCGAUGAGGCUUGCUUUUACAAAAGGAUCUUGUGAUCGAGCAAGGUAAGAUGGUUUUAAUCAUUUAGUCAUUACAGAAAAAAAAAUUUUUUAAGGCAGGAUCUGUUUAAUCUGAGUUUGAACUCACCAUCCUUGUGCCUCAGCCUUCCCAGUGGUGAGAUCACUUCUGACUAAACGGUGAUGUGAAGAUUGGAGGUUGUUUGCUGUGGUUCCCGCUUUCCUGGCUUUCGCCCAGCAGUACUGACUUUAGUUCUCCCAGCAGAGAACUGGAACAGUCACCACACUCUACAGGUGAUUUGAAGACUUAAGUUGGAUUAAAAACUUUGAAGUUACCUAACCUAUAUUAAACUCAUUCAAUUAUACUUAAAA
This 507-nucleotide long non-coding RNA is filed under the name Rattus norvegicus (Norway rat). RNAcentral's name for it is "long non-coding RNA NONRATT029962". The record is from RNAcentral. Lineage: Eukaryota; Metazoa; Chordata; Mammalia; Rodentia; Muridae.